AAUAAACGUUGGCGGCGUGCUUAACACAUGCAAGUCGGGCGAGAAAGGUCUUCGGACUGAGUACAGCGGCAAACGGGGUGAGUAACACGUGGGAAUCUACCUUUUAGUGAAGAAUACCCUCGAGAAAUCGAGGUUAAUACUGCAUACGUCUCGAAAGAGAGAAAGAUGGCCUCUUUGCUGUCGCUGAAAGAUGAGCCUGCGUACUAUUAGCUAGUUGGUAGGGUAAAGGCCUACCAAGGCUAUGAUGGUUAGCCGGCCUGAGAGGGUGUACGGCCACACUGGAACUUAGACACGGUCCAGACUCCUACGGAGGCAGCAGUGAGGAAUAUUGCGCAAUGGGCGAAAGCCUGACGCAGCGACGCCGCGUGGAGGAUGAAGGUCUUAGGAUUGUAAACUUCUGUUAAGCGGAAGGAAGACGAAGUGUUAAUACCACUUUAUGAUGACGGUACCGCUAAGAAAGCACCGGCUAACUUCGUGCCAGCAG
RNAcentral lists this ribosomal RNA (484 nucleotides) under uncultured bacterium. RNAcentral's name for it is "bacterial SSU rRNA". It matches the Rfam family "Bacterial small subunit ribosomal RNA", at positions 29 to 514 of the family's 1533-position model. The record is from RNAcentral.